GCUAUUCCCGGGGAAGGAGAAUUGAGGAGCAGACGAAAAAACGGGACGUGUAUAUAGUCGCGUUGGAUUUAAACGGAGAGUAUCCGGUGGGGUAUAUUUCGUGUAUGUAGUGGAAAGAUUUAUUUAACUGUUUAUUAAACGAAUGAGGUAAAAAUGUUCGUAGUCAUAAAAAGUGACGUCGCCGCCAAGUCCUUUCUUGGUACCGACAAGGAGUCAUGUAAGAUAUCACCUUGUUCUGCAGCAAGAAAGUAUUUUUCUUAUUAUGAAAAUGGGUAGACUGAAUUUAACAUAAUUUUGACCAAGAAACUCUCAGAUUAUCAUAGAGAGAUGCUACUUUUGCAAAAGCAAUCGAUAAGAGCAAAAUCAUCAGCUCGAUAUAACUUAUGAAGCACACAAGGAUGCUUGCACGUAAAGCUUAAUUUAGCUAUUUAUGCACCUUCCAAUCUCAGUUUGUUACAAAUCUUUGUCAAGCACAACACAAACAAUGAUGUGGCUUGAUAUGUGGCAGGACUACAUCUUUCUGGCAUUGAUUGAAUACUUAUAGGUACAGAAAUCAACUUUUUUCCCUAUGCUUAAUAGACUCUGGACUCUAAAUACUUACGUAUAUCCAUUAUGACAUCCGGAAAGCCGAUGCAGAUAUUUAGUGAAAGGUAAGAUUCUUUUCUUGUCUGGAUCAUAUAAAAUCACGAGCAAAAUGUUUGUAUAAGAAAGAAAAGGAAUAGAAAAAAAUGACAAGUAGUGUACUUAAGAUAAAUUUGUACAAAAAUUGUUAAUAAACAACUUUAUGUACACGCAUAUUACGAAAUGGUAAAAUUUAUAUUA
Molecule: long non-coding RNA, 822 nt
Organism: Nasonia vitripennis (jewel wasp)
Lineage: Eukaryota; Metazoa; Arthropoda; Insecta; Hymenoptera; Pteromalidae
Exons: 3
Source: RefSeq, a predicted model, not a curated record